This 84-nucleotide transfer RNA is filed under the name Fodinibius salinus. RNAcentral describes it as "Bacteroidetes bacterium YIM D17 tRNA". It matches the Rfam family "tRNA". From Rfam's summary of the family: Transfer RNA (tRNA) molecules are approximately 80 nucleotides in length. Their secondary structure includes four short double-helical elements and three loops (D, anti-codon, and T loops). Further hydrogen bonds mediate the characteristic L-shaped molecular structure. tRNAs have two regions of fundamental functional importance: the anti-codon, which is responsible for specific mRNA codon recognition, and the 3' end, to which the tRNAs corresponding amino acid is attached (by aminoacyl-tRNA synthetases). tRNAs cope with the degeneracy of the genetic code in two manners: having more than one tRNA (with a specific anti-codon) for a particular amino acid; and 'wobble' base-pairing, i.e. permitting non-standard base-pairing at the 3rd anti-codon position. The record is from Rfam by way of RNAcentral. Lineage: Bacteria; Pseudomonadati; Balneolota; Balneolia; Balneolales; Balneolaceae.
GCCCAAGUGGCGGAAUUGGUAGACGCGCAUGCUUCAGGUGCAUGUGGGGUUCUCCCCGUGAAGGUUCGAGUCCUUUCUUGGGCA